Molecule: unclassified non-coding RNA, 1838 nt
Filed under: Onthophagus taurus
Lineage: Eukaryota; Metazoa; Arthropoda; Insecta; Coleoptera; Scarabaeidae
Description: uncharacterized LOC111415777, transcript variant X2
Source: RNAcentral
ACAAUAUCUUUAUAAAUUACACAACAUAAUCAACAAAAUGUUAUUGAAAUAUCUUCUUAUUUCUGGCUUUAUUUCCAUUGUCGAGCCUACAGCUUUAAAAAAGUUAAACACGAUUGACGAAAUUUUCACCACCUACAAAUCAGAUAUCACUGAUAUUAAGAACUCUUUGCAAGUCUUGAUGGAAGAAAAUUCUCAAAUCGAAAAAAAUCUUGCUUUGGCAAAUUCAAAAUUGUCGUACACAAAAGAAGAAACUGAUAAUCUGAUUACUUCGGUAGAUUUUAUUAUUCUUGGAAUAAGUUUUAACUCGACCUCUACACACAAUUGUGAAGAAAUUGAGUUGUACAACGAAUUACAAGAUACCACAAUGAAUAACGUUACUAAAUUCACUUUUAAAUAUUACGACAAACUUAAUGUAUUAACCGAGAUCAUUACAACUUUUAAAGCUAUGCUGACAAGUUUGAAUAAUAACAUUGCGUUUGUAGUCCCGAAUUGUUGGCUACAUAAUUUAUUACCAUGGCAAAACGACCAACUUAAUGAGUGUGUUAGAAAAAGAUUCGAUGAAUUUCAAACUGAAAUAAACAGAGUUAGUAAUGAGAGUUAUCACAUUAAUCUUGAUUUGAACGUGAUGAUGAAUUCUAUGAGAGUGGACACUGUUGAAAUUGUGACGUGGAUGAUUCAAGAUAUCGUUAAAAUCGUUAAUUAUGUUAAUGAAUGUUAUAAUUCUCAAUCUAUUACUACAGAAGAAAACGUAAUAACCACAACAGAAAUAAAUGUUUCAACUGAAGAAAUUAAUAAUUAAUAAGCAUGUUUUUCUUUAUUGAUAGGUCAUUGUAAUUGAUCGAGUUUUACAGACAAUAAAUAUUAGCUUAACCUAUUUUUUCAAUUUCUUUAUAAUAUUUACAAACCACUUCAAAUCAUCUAUAAAAAUCGAUCGAACGUCUUAAUCCAUCAGUAACAAUUUCUCCCUCACCGAUUUAAAAUGAUUUUAAAAACUUUAAUAUUUCUCAUUGCAUUAAGCAGCAUAAAGGCCGCACCUUCUGACAUAAACACCAAAUGGAUUUACGACGUCUUAAACAAAUUCAAUCCAGAAAUAACAGAAUUAAAAGUAUCAAUAGAAACUUUAGCGAAUAAAACCACAGAUAAUGUAGUGAUGUUAUCUUCGGGGAUGUUAAGAAUAAUCUUGGUUAGAAACGAAUCUGAUACUCUGAUUGCUUCGUUAAAAAGCGUCGUUAAAACAACCAUAGAUGAAGCUACCCAAGAAAAAAUAGAAAUUGAAAGUUGCGUUGACGACGAAUUAAAAUCUCAAGAAAAUUUAGAAAUCAAUUUAAACGAAAAAACCGAACAGAUCGAGGCGAAAUAUAAUUUAUACUUCGAGGAAUUUUUAGGCGAAUCUAUAAAAAUUAAAAAUCUUUUACCCGAUUUAAAUCGAAAAAUUGAUGAGUCACUUCGUAAUUGUGCUUUGCAUCAUUUUUUACCGUGGCAUGAAGAUGAGUUAAUCAAUUGUAUCAAUCGAGAUAUUGAACAAUCAAAAUCUGAAAUUUCAGAAAUUAAUUCCAAUAUUAUUUCAAUUAUAACAAAAGCAGAAGAAUUAUUUGGUGAGAUGGAAAUCGACGUUGUAGAGAUGACUAAAAAUGUUUUGUUAGAGAUGUUUGGAAUUAUCGAAACUCUUAAAGUGUGUAUUGUUAUGAUUAAACCUGAAACAACUACUUUUGUUGAAAAUUAAAUCAUCUUGAAAUUAAAUUAUCGCUAAAUUAAACCAUAUUUUAAUCCCCACUUAAAAUUAUUUAACACAAUAAUGUAAACAAUACAUUUUAUACAUAAUAAAAAGAUAAGAAAUG